Molecule: long non-coding RNA, 467 nt
Organism: Carya illinoinensis
Lineage: Eukaryota; Viridiplantae; Streptophyta; Magnoliopsida; Fagales; Juglandaceae
Exons: 2
Source: RefSeq, a predicted model, not a curated record
AUGAAAUAGUUUCCCAGUUCAGAAAUUCAGUUUCGUCUUCGCCACUCCCAAGCUUCGUCUUCUCCCAGGCUUUGUCUUUCUAGUCUGUGGCUUCUGUGUUCGUGCGAGAGCGAAACCGAUUGUUGCAGUCGCCGUCGUGGGACAGUCCAGAUCUCUAAGUCGCGGUCGUCGUCGUGGGUGAGAGAGCAACUGGUCUACAUCUGCUAUUAAGAUGCAUGUUGGGGCGAUGGAUGGAAGACAGCCGGAUAAUGAGAAUAGAGCACAUAAGAUUUUUAGGAUUUUGGUUUAUGAUUUCGAGAUCUAUUGAGUGUAUUUUCUUUUCUGGUAUUGUGAUUGUAAACGAUAUGUAAGCAAGUGAUUGCAAUAUGUGAGUUGAGUAAGUGAUUGUAAAAAAGAUGCUGAAUAUUUUGUUAUAUAAGAUUUAUCAGUUUCUACAAAUGAAAGAAGCUUUUUUGUGGUUCUAUAAA